AGCGUAGGUGGCCUAACAUGUCAACUGUGAAAACCCGGAGCUCAACUCCGGACUUGCAGUUGAAACUGGUAGGCUUGAGGACGGUAGAGGAAGACGGAACUGCCAGUGUAGGGGUAAAAUCCUUAGAUAUUGGCAGGAACGCCGGUGACGAAGGUGGUUUUCUGGGCCGGUUCUGACACUGAUGCUCGAAAAGCCAGGGGAGCGAACG
Molecule: ribosomal RNA, 208 nt
Filed under: uncultured Mesotoga sp.
Lineage: Bacteria; Thermotogati; Thermotogota; Thermotogae; Kosmotogales; Kosmotogaceae
Description: partial 16S ribosomal RNA
Rfam family: Bacterial small subunit ribosomal RNA
Source: RNAcentral